CCUACGGGCGGCAGCAGUGAGGAAUAUUGGUCAAUGGGCGUAAGCCUGAACCAGCCAAGUCGCGUGAGGGAUGAAGGUUCUAUGGAUCGUAAACCUCUUUUAUAAGGGAAUAAAGUGUGGGACGUGUCCUAUUUUGUAUGUACCUUAUGAAUAAGGAUCGGCUAACUCCGUGCCAGCAGCCGCGGUAAUACGGAGGAUCCGAGCGUUAUCCGGAUUUAUUGGGUUUAAAGGGUGCGUAGGUGGCCUUUUAAGUCAGCUGUGAAAGUCUGUGGCUCAACCAUAAAAUUGCCGUUGAAACUGGGGGGCUUGAGUAUGGUUGAGGCAGGCGGAAUGCGUGGUGUAGCGGUGAAAUGCUUAGAUAUCACGCAGAACCCCGAUUGCGAAGGCAGCCUGCCAAGCCGUGACUGACGCUGAUGCACGAAAGCGUGGGGAUCAAACAGGAUUAGAUACCCCAGUAGUC
This 460-nucleotide ribosomal RNA is filed under the name uncultured bacterium. Its description in RNAcentral is "partial 16S ribosomal RNA". It matches the Rfam family "Bacterial small subunit ribosomal RNA", at positions 338 to 795 of the family's 1533-position model. The record is from RNAcentral.